Long non-coding RNA from Papaver somniferum (opium poppy), 1730 nucleotides. RefSeq lists it as uncharacterized. NCBI's taxonomy places the organism in Eukaryota, Viridiplantae, Streptophyta, Magnoliopsida, Ranunculales, Papaveraceae. The record is from RefSeq and is a predicted model, not a curated record. The transcript has 8 exons.
CACUAUCUCUCUAUUCAACUGACGAGCAAAAAGGAAGAAGAAAAGAAAAACUGUAAAUUCCAGAACCCCCCUUUGAUUUGAUACUCCCCACAAAAUAAAUACUUCGUAGUCACAAUUCCGAUGGGUAUGAUCAGAACCUGAGGAAUUUGGUUCUAUUAUUGUUCUCCUGGAUAAUUGAAUAAGAAAUCACCGUAAACAGUCGUAAUAGAUCCUGCCAACAAUUGUUUGUUUCUGAUCAAAGGAGUUCCUAUAUAUUAAAUUUUCAGCAAUCUUCAAGUGUUGGGCUCAAUUUUGAUUAAGUUGGAAUUUUAUCGAACAAAUUUAAUCACGAUCAAAACUACCUCCCACUUCCAGUGUUAUCUUACUGUUCAAUAUCUUCUUGCUGAAUCAGUUCGUCAAGCAUCUUCGUUUCACACCCAGGGAAAUUGUUACUCACUAAAUUAGAUGCAUUGUUUGCUUACGACAUUUGAUAUACUGCAUUUGCAGAAAUGCCAAGAAGAAAUUCAUCACAAAUUUUCAACCUCUUGCAAAACUUUAGGUUUGCACUCUGAAGUUCUCUGACGUCUUCGCUGCAAGUUUUAUUAUUGCUAACGGUAACAGACAACGAGUUGGACAUAACACCUGUAGAGUUCAAACUAUUCCUGUGUAUUCUCGGGAGCAAUUCCUAAAUUCCAAGAGCACGAUUUUUUUUUCCAAGAAAAUGAUGUUAAAUGGUCCAUCGGAAGACAAACAAUACAUAAGCCCUUAAUCCAAUCAACUGGUGAGAAAGAUAUUCAUGAGUUGGGUCCUCUCAAAUGGAAGAGGGAUGCAAGCUGCUUUGGCCUAGCACUACUGCUGCAGUGAGUUGGUAUUGUCCACUAUGUUUCUGUUGGUUAGUGGAUGCCAGAUAUCCCUUCAGAAUGUCUGACUUCAAAAACACCACCAACAACAAAAAAGGUCACGGGAUUGUUGGUAAAGACAGUUUGAUUUGUAGGCUUUCUCAAGUGUAUUUCAUUCCUAAUUAGUUAUUUACCAUUCUUUCUCUAAUUUGCUUUAGUAUCUCAUGUUGGAUUAGAUUAUUCAUUGUAAAAUAGAAUUCCAUUACUACUAUUCUUUCUCUACAUGUGCUAUAGUAUCUCAUGUUGGAAGAGAUUAUUCACUGUGAAAUAGAAUUCCAUUACUACUGUGAAUGUGAUUAUACCACGUUCUUUCCUUCAUUACUGAUUCCCAUCUGUAAUAACUGAAAUGUUGUGGUGGGUAAAUACAGGCAUUUUUUUCGUCAACAAAGUUUACCAGUUGCAAUGGAAAUUGAUAGAGUAUGAAACAUAGUAUGCUUAGUUUAAGUUGGAUUACGGAAAUGGCAGUAUUCGAUGUCUAAGCCUUGGACAAAACCAUCUGCCAUCUCAAGAAGCAUGGCCUGGAAAGGAUUCUUACCACAUAUCCCUCGCCGCUGGUAAGAUUGUUAUGAACAUGUUUUCGGGUUUAAUUUCUUUUUACCGGGUUAAUGCGGUAGUGGCGACUCUCUCGAAUAUGCGUGGAUUGAGAUGGCCGCUACUAUUGGAGCAACAUAGAGUCUCUCGGCUUCAGGAUUUCAGAUUUAGAUGCUCUUAGAGUUUCGGUUGUUGUACAUUUUAACUUUUAAGUUGUUUAUUCUACUAUCAAAUUUUAGAUUUUACAUUUUUAAGUGUAGGAUGUUUGCUGUAUCAAACUGGAUGAUUCAUUAAUAAUUGAUUUCAAAUUUUUUUGGAGUA